GAAGGAGAAAGAGGACUGGGAAGACUAGUACCUUGUUAGCUCUUCGCUCAUACACAGAUGAGAUUAUUGCUGAAAAAGAAGAAUCUGCCAAUAUUGCGAAGACUGGUAAUAAAGGCAAAGGUGUUCUUCGCAGGGAAAAACCAACUGCUCCUCCUUCAAAGAAAAUAAAAGUUCGUUCUUCCUCUCCUUAAAAUAUUCCUUCUCAUGAAAACUCCGAGAAUGAUGAGGAUAAUGAUGACCUUGCUGCAAAUGAAGAUUCUCCAUCUGAA
Papaver somniferum (opium poppy) is the source of this 269-nucleotide long non-coding RNA. RefSeq lists it as uncharacterized. The record is from RefSeq and is a predicted model, not a curated record. Lineage: Eukaryota; Viridiplantae; Streptophyta; Magnoliopsida; Ranunculales; Papaveraceae. The transcript has 3 exons.